Molecule: ribosomal RNA, 458 nt
Filed under: uncultured bacterium
Lineage: Bacteria
Description: partial 16S ribosomal RNA
Rfam family: Bacterial small subunit ribosomal RNA
Source: RNAcentral
GAUCAACGCUGGCGGCGUGCAUGAGACAUGCAAGUCGAACGAAGGAUCGGGCUUGCUCGAUCCUUAGUGGCGGACGGCUGCGUAACGCGUAGGUGACCUACCCCGAAGUGGGGAAUAACUGCCCGAAAGGGUGGCUAAUACCGCAUGUGGUCGCACGUUCAUUCGUGCGAGUUCAGCCGCAAGGCGCUUCGGGAGGGGCCUUCGUCCGAUUAGCUCGUUGGUGGGGUAAUGGCUUACCAAGGCGACGAUCGGUAGGUGGUCUGAGAGGACGAUCACCCAGACUGGGGCUGAGAAACAGCCCAGACUCCUACGGGAGGCAGCAGUGGGGAAUUUUGCUCAAUGGGGGAAACCAUGAAGCAGCAACGCCGCGUGAGGGAUGAAGGCCUUCGGGUUGUAAAGCUCUUUUGUCAGGGACGAUGAUGACGGUACCUGGCGAAUAAGCCACGGCUAACUACGUG